Molecule: ribosomal RNA, 253 nt
Filed under: uncultured bacterium
Lineage: Bacteria
Description: partial 16S ribosomal RNA
Rfam family: Bacterial small subunit ribosomal RNA
Source: RNAcentral
UACGUAGGGUGCAAGCGUUGUUCGGAAUUAUUGGGCGUAAAGCGCACGUAGGCGGUUCGUUAAGUCGGAUGUGAAAGCCCUCGGCUCAACUGAGGAAGUGCACCCGAAACUGGCGAGCUUGAGUACGAAAGAGGAUCGCGGAAUUCCCGGUGUAGAGGUGAAAUUCGUAGAUAUCGGGAGGAACACCGGUGGCGAAGGCGGCGAUCUGGGUCGAUACUGACGCUGAGGUGCGAAAGCGUGGGGAGCAAACAGG